This 376-nucleotide ribosomal RNA is filed under the name uncultured delta proteobacterium. Its description in RNAcentral is "bacterial SSU rRNA". It matches the Rfam family "Bacterial small subunit ribosomal RNA", at positions 485 to 859 of the family's 1533-position model. Lineage: Bacteria; Deltaproteobacteria. The record is from RNAcentral.
AGGAAGCACCGGCUACCUCCGUGCCAGCAGCCGCGGUAAUACGGAGGGUGCAAGCGUUGUUCGGAAUUAUUGGGCGUAAAGCGCGUGUAGGCGGAUGAAUAAGCCAGGUGUGAAAUCCCUUGACUCAAUCAAGGAACUGCACUUGAAACUAUUUGUCUCGAGUACGAUAGGGGAGGGCGGAAUUCCCAGUGUAGAGGUGAAAUUCAUAGAUAUUGGGAGGAACACCAGUGGCGAAGGCGACCCUCUGGACCGAUACUGACGCCGAGACGCGAAAGCGUGGGUAGCAAACAGGAUUAGAUACCCUGGUAGUCCACGCUGUAAACGAUGUGCACUAGGUGUUGGAGGUGCUUAAUCCUUCAGUGCCGCAGCUAACGCA